Molecule: long non-coding RNA, 439 nt
Organism: Gallus gallus (chicken)
Lineage: Eukaryota; Metazoa; Chordata; Aves; Galliformes; Phasianidae
Source: Ensembl
AGCGGGCGCGGGCGGCGGGACGCGCCCCGGUUCCUUCUUUCCUUCCUUCCUCGGACUGGCCCGGCCCGGCCGCCCUCCCCAGCCCUAUUUAUUCGGGCGCCGGAGCCGCUCGCGGCCGCAGCAGAAGUAGCCAAAGAGAACUUCCCGUGGUCUCAGCUCCUGGCGUGGCACUGCUGGCCCUGCUGGAGUCCUGGCACCAAUUCCAUCCCACGACCCAGCAGCUUCAGAGCUGGAAUUGCUGUGCAGUGCUGCGCCGAGGAAUCCUUCUGCCCUCCCAGGGAGCAUCUCCUGCAUCCACUUCAGGCGGCCGCAGCGCUGCGUCCCCUCGGCUCCUUCUGCCCCGUGUGGAGCAGAGGACGACACCGGCGCCCAGCAGCCCCCAUCCCAGUGAGAGGUGUCCUUCCCUGAACCCCCAGCUCGGUGUAUCCGUGUGGUGGUG